CGCGGUUAAUUGGAACCCUCUCUCCUCGUCAUCCUCCUCCUCGCCCCCUCCCCUUCUCCACCACCUCCUCCUCCUCCUCGUCCGUGGCCUCCGACGCCCCCGCUCGGGUCCUCGGAGUCGGCGGCGUCCUCCGCGGCGAGCCUCGGCGGUUCUCCGGCGCGGACGUGGCCGCGUACGCGGCGGUGAGCGGCGACCGCAACCCCCUCCACCUCGACGCCGAGUUCGCGCGGGGUGUCGCCGGGUUCGAGCGCGGGAGCGUCGUCCACGGCAUGCUCGUCGCCUCCCUCUUCCCCUCCCUCAUCGCCUCCCACUUCGUACGCUUCCCCUCCCUCUUUUCGGAAUUUCGUCGAACAGGUGGUGGGCGGAUGAGUUGUGUGUGCAGUUACGAGUCUGGGGAGUUGGGUUUGUUUCGGGAAGGUCGAUAUCAAUAUUUUGGCUUAUCACUCUCUCAUCGCCUCCCACUUCGUAGUAUUCUCCGUCCAAUUUCAUGAGCAUUUGUCGAUGGGGAAUUUCGUCGAACAGGUGGUGGGCGGAUGAGUUGUGAGCGUAGUUGCGAGUUUUGGGAGUUUGGGUUUGAUUUGGGUAAGUCGAAAAGUUCAGAGCUUGGCGAAAGAUUUGGAGAAUUUGGAAAAAGAAAAAGAAAAAUAGCAAUAGUUUGGUUUAUCACUCACUCAUCGCCUACCACUUCAUAGGAUUCUGCUUCCCAUUUCGUGAGCAUUUGUCCAUUGGGAAUUUCGUCGAACAGGUGGUGGACGGAUGAGUUGUGUGCGUAGUUGCGAGUUUGGUGGGUUUGGGUUUGAUUCUGAAAGGUCGAAAAGUUGACAGUUUGGUGAAAGGUUUGGGGAAUUUGAGGGGAAAAGAAAAACCAAAAAAAAAAUUGCAAUAGUUUGGUUUAUAANCCAUUGGAUCUACUUUUUAAUUACUAAUAGUCUUUAGAUCAAACACUAUUCCACUUACCACCACCUACCACCACCUAUCACCAUCAUCUCAACCUCACAUCUCUCUCCAUCCAAGGGCUAAAAACACAUAAGUAUCACUUGGGUGAUACUUUUACAAGUAUUCUAGCUCUACUAUAUAUAUAUAUAUAUAGAAUAAAUUUUUUAUUUGAUUCUCGGUGCGGAUCGUAUCUAUCGUAUUUUAUUGUGCCAAUAAGAUAUAGUUCUCGUGUGGAUGACAUAAUUUUUAAUUUUUUUUAAAAAUUAUUAAGUAAUUUUUUUAAUAAAAUUUAAAAGAUUCGAUAAAGAUGUAUAAUAAGUCAUUAAAAGAUUUUAUUGUUAAAAAAUAAAUAUUUUUAUAUUAUUAUAUGCCGGCGUAAGCGCACAUGUAUUAUAUAUUAAUUAUUUGAGUGGCGAAUAUAUAUUAUAUUAAUUAUUUGAGUUGCGAAGGGACGACAAAGUAUAAAUUCGUGAGAGGUUCACUCACCCUCUUCGCCUCCUACUGCUUUAGGAUGCGCCUCGCGCGGUUAAUUGGAACCCUCUCUCCUCGUCAUCCUCCUCCUCGCUCCCUCCCCUUCUCCACCACCUCCUCCUCCUCCUCGUCCGUGGCCUCCGACGCCCCCGCUCGGGUCCUCGGAGUCGGCGGCGUCCUCCGCGGCGAGCCUCGGCGGUUCUCCGGCGCGGACGUGGCCGCGUACGCGGCGGUGAGCGGCGACCGCAACCCCCUCCA
RNAcentral lists this long non-coding RNA (1665 nucleotides) under Ananas comosus (pineapple). Its description in RNAcentral is "long non-coding RNA (ACOM_LNC004921)". The record is from RNAcentral. Lineage: Eukaryota; Viridiplantae; Streptophyta; Magnoliopsida; Poales; Bromeliaceae.